AACUCGUGUAUCUGUAGCUGAUGG
Molecule: non-coding RNA, 24 nt
Filed under: Arabidopsis thaliana (thale cress)
Lineage: Eukaryota; Viridiplantae; Streptophyta; Magnoliopsida; Brassicales; Brassicaceae
Source: RNAcentral